AGGGCGCACGGUGGAUGCCUUGGCACUAGAAGCCGAUGAAGGACGUUACUAACGACGAUAUGCUUUGGGGAGCUGUAAGUAAGCUUUGAUCCAGAGAUUUCCGAAUGGGGAAACCCAGCAUGAGUUAUGUCAUGUUAUCGAUAUGUGAAUACAUAGCAUAUCAGAAGGCACACCCGGAGAACUGAAACAUCUUAGUACCCGGAGGAAGAGAAAGAAAAUUCGAUUCCCUUAGUAGCGGCGAGCGAAACGGGAAGAGCCCAAACCAACAAGCUUGCUUGUUGGGGUUGUAGGACACUCUAUACGGAGUUACAAAGGACGACAUUAGACGAAUCAUCUGGAAAGAUGAAUCAAAGAAGGUAAUAAUCCUGUAGUCGAAAAUGUUGUCUCUCUUGAGUGGAUCCUGAGUACGACGGAGCACGUGAAAUUCCGUCGGAAUCUGGGAGGACCAUCUCCUAAGGCUAAAUACUCUCUAGUGACCGAUAGUGAACCAGUACCGUGAGGGAAAGGUGAAAAGCACCCCGGAAGGGGAGUGAAAUAGAACCUGAAACCGUGUGCUUACAAGUAGUCAGAGCCCGUUAAUGGGUGAUGGCGUGCCUUUUGUAGAAUGAACCGGCGAGUUACGAUUUGAUGCAAGGUUAAGCAGUAAAUGUGGAGCCGUAGCGAAAGCGAGUCUGAAUAGGGCGUUUAGUAUUUGGUCGUAGACCCGAAACCAGGUGAUCUACCCUUGGUCAGGUUGAAGUUCAGGUAACACUGAAUGGAGGACCGAACCGACUUACGUUGAAAAGUGAGCGGAUGAACUGAGGGUAGCGGAGAAAUACCAAUCGAACCUGGAGAUAGCUGGUUCUCUCCGAAAUAGCUUUAGGGCUAGCCUCAAGUGAUGAUUAUUGGAGGUAGAGCACUGUUUGGACGAGGGGCCCCUCUCGGGUUACCGAAUUCAGACAAACUCCGAAUGCCAAUUAAUUUAACUUGGGAGUCAGAACAUGGGUGAUAAGGUCCGUGUUCGAAAGGGAAACAGCCCAGACCACCAGCUAAGGUCCCAAAAUAUAUGUUAAGUGGAAAAGGAUGUGGCGUUGCCCAGACAACUAGGAUGUUGGCUUAGAAGCAGCCAUCAUUUAAAGAGUGCGUAAUAGCUCACUAGUCGAGUGACACUGCGCCGAAAAUGUACCGGGGCUAAACAUAUUACCGAAGCUGUGGAUUGUCCUUUGGACAAUGGUAGGAGAGCGUUCUAAGGGCGUUGAAGCAUGAUCGUAAGGACAUGUGGAGCGCUUAGAAGUGAGAAUGCCGGUGUGAGUAGCGAAAGACGGGUGAGAAUCCCGUCCACCGAUUGACUAAGGUUUCCAGAGGAAGGCUCGUCCGCUCUGGGUUAGUCGGGUCCUAAGCUGAGGCCGACAGGCGUAGGCGAUGGAUAACAGGUUGAUAUUCCUGUACCACCUAUAAUCGUUUUAAUCGAUGGGGGGACGCAGUAGGAUAGGCGAAGCGUGCGAUUGGAUUGCACGUCUAAGCAGUAAGGCUGAGUAUUAGGCAAAUCCGGUACUCGUUAAGGCUGAGCUGUGAUGGGGAGAAGACAUUGUGUCUUCGAGUCGUUGAUUUCACACUGCCGAGAAAAGCCUCUAGAUAGAAAAUAGGUGCCCGUACCGCAAACCGACACAGGUAGUCAAGAUGAGAAUUCUAAGGUGAGCGAGCGAACUCUCGUUAAGGAACUCGGCAAAAUGACCCCGUAACUUCGGGAGAAGGGGUGCUCUUUAGGGUUAACGCCCAGAAGAGCCGCAGUGAAUAGGCCCAAGCGACUGUUUAUCAAAAACACAGGUCUCUGCUAAACCGUAAGGUGAUGUAUAGGGGCUGACGCCUGCCCGGUGCUGGAAGGUUAAGAGGAGUGGUUAGCUUCUGCGAAGCUACGAAUCGAAGCCCCAGUAAACGGCGGCCGUAACUAUAACGGUCCUAAGGUAGCGAAAUUCCUUGUCGGGUAAGUUCCGACCCGCACGAAAGGCGUAACGAUUUGGGCACUGUCUCAACGAGAGACUCGGUGAAAUCAUAGUACCUGUGAAGAUGCAGGUUACCCGCGACAGGACGGAAAGACCCCGUGGAGCUUUACUGUAGCCUGAUAUUGAAAUUCGGCACAGCUUGUACAGGAUAGGUAGGAGCCUUUGAAACGUGAGCGCUAGCUUACGUGGAGGCGCUGGUGGGAUACUACCCUAGCUGUGUUGGCUUUCUAACCCGCACCACUUAUCGUGGUGGGAGACAGUGUCAGGCGGGCAGUUUGACUGGGGCGGUCGCCUCCUAAAAGGUAACGGAGGCGCUCAAAGGUUCCCUCAGAAUGGUUGGAAAUCAUUCAUAGAGUGUAAAGGCAUAAGGGAGCUUGACUGCGAGACCUACAAGUCGAGCAGGGUCGAAAGACGGACUUAGUGAUCCGGUGGUUCCGCAUGGAAGGGCCAUCGCUCAACGGAUAAAAGCUACCCCGGGGAUAACAGGCUUAUCUCCCCCAAGAGUUCACAUCGACGGGGAGGUUUGGCACCUCGAUGUCGGCUCAUCGCAUCCUGGGGCUGUAGUCGGUCCCAAGGGUUGGGCUGUUCGCCCAUUAAAGCGGUACGCGAGCUGGGUUCAGAACGUCGUGAGACAGUUCGGUCCCUAUCCGUCGUGGGCGUAGGAAAUUUGAGAGGAGCUGUCCUUAGUACGAGAGGACCGGGAUGGACAUACCUCUGGUGUACCAGUUGUCGUGCCAACGGCAUAGCUGGGUAGCUAUGUGUGGACGGGAUAAGUGCUGAAAGCAUCUAAGCAUGAAGCCCCCCUCAAGAUGAGAUUUCCCAACUUCGGUUAU
RNAcentral lists this ribosomal RNA (2815 nucleotides) under Staphylococcus aureus. RNAcentral's name for it is "bacterial LSU rRNA". It matches the Rfam family "Bacterial large subunit ribosomal RNA". The record is from RNAcentral. Lineage: Bacteria; Bacillati; Bacillota; Bacilli; Caryophanales; Staphylococcaceae.